CAUAGACCAAAGCUGCCAAUAUCACAGAUUGAUACACAGGAACUCCAGGCAUGGAUGCUGGUGGAUCAACAAAUAUAAUGCUCACACAAUUUCGUAAACUACCCCUUCCAACAUACUAGAAAACCACAAAACGUGUCGUUCAUAAACCCCACCCUCUUUCUCAUUUCUGUACCCCAACCCCCUUCCUUCCAAACCUUGACUUGGCUACCUGAAUUGUUUAUGUUGCACCACCUAGGAAUUGUUAUCACGAUACACCAGGAUGUCAAACCAACAACCGUUACAAAAACCAAGAGACAACACGAUGUCUAAUGUUGAAUGUAUC
This is a non-coding RNA of Pelobates cultripes (western spadefoot toad), 322 nucleotides long. Lineage: Eukaryota; Metazoa; Chordata; Amphibia; Anura; Pelobatidae. The record is from the annotation of a GenBank genome assembly.